Molecule: ribosomal RNA, 254 nt
Filed under: uncultured bacterium
Lineage: Bacteria
Description: partial 16S ribosomal RNA
Rfam family: Bacterial small subunit ribosomal RNA
Source: RNAcentral
UACGAACUGUGCGAACGUUAUUCGGAAUCACUGGGCUUACAGGGUGCGUAGGCGGCUUGUUAAGUAGGGUGUGAAAGCCCCCGGCUCAACCGGGGAAUUGCGCCCUAAACUGGCGAGCUGGAGUGAGAUAGGGGUGUGUGGAACUUCCGGUGGAGCGGUGAAAUGUGUUGAUAUCGGAAGGAACGCCGGUGGCGAAAGCGACACACUGGAUCUUGUCUGACGCUGAGGCACGGAAAGCCAGGGGAGCGAACGGG